Molecule: ribosomal RNA, 480 nt
Filed under: uncultured Clostridiaceae bacterium
Lineage: Bacteria; Bacillati; Bacillota; Clostridia; Eubacteriales; Clostridiaceae
Description: bacterial SSU rRNA
Rfam family: Bacterial small subunit ribosomal RNA
Source: RNAcentral
UGGCUCAGGAUAACGCUGGCGGCGUGCUUAACACAUGCAAGUCGAGCGGAGAAGUAGGAAGGAAUCCCUUCGGGGAGGAAUUCUAGUUCUUAGCGGCGGACGGGUGCGUAACACGUGGGUAACCUGCCCUUAUCACCGGGAUAACACACUGGAAAAGUGUGCUAAUACCGGAUAACAUCAACUUAUGGCAUCAUAAGAUGAUCAAAGCGUUAGCGGAUAAGGAUGGGCCCGCGUCUGAUUAGCUAGUUGGUAGGGUAACGGCCUACCAAGGCAACGAUCAGUAGCCGACCUGAGAGGGUGAUCGGCCACACUGGAACUGAGACACGGUCCAGACUCCUACGGGAGGCAGCAGUGGGGAAUAUUGCACAAUGGGCGAAAGCCUGAUGCAGCAACGCCGCGUGAGCGAUGAAGGCCUUCGGGUCGUAAAGCUCUGUCCUAUGGGAAGAAUAAUGACGGUACCAUAGGAGGAAGCCCCGGGGU